Molecule: long non-coding RNA, 203 nt
Filed under: Mytilus galloprovincialis (Mediterranean mussel)
Lineage: Eukaryota; Metazoa; Mollusca; Bivalvia; Mytilida; Mytilidae
Source: RNAcentral
UUUCAGAUGCUUUACAUUAAAAUACAUCCAUGUGACAUACACAAUUAUAUAUACAUUGUAGAUCCAAAUUUAAAAAGCUAUUUUUUUCAAUAUUUAAAUAAUGUAGGAUCAAAUCUUGAUACAUGUAUGUAGUUGAAAUUGUUAGCUUUAAACAUUAAAAAAUGAACACCCAAAGUUUAAACAUAAGAAUGACCAUGCAGUCU